GCUCCGGUAGCUCAGCUGGAUAGAGCACGAGCCUUCUAAGCUUGGGGUCCCGCGUUCGAGUCGCGGCCGGAGCG
This 74-nucleotide transfer RNA is filed under the name Akkermansia sp. Its description in RNAcentral is "tRNA-Arg". It matches the Rfam family "tRNA". From Rfam's summary of the family: Transfer RNA (tRNA) molecules are approximately 80 nucleotides in length. Their secondary structure includes four short double-helical elements and three loops (D, anti-codon, and T loops). Further hydrogen bonds mediate the characteristic L-shaped molecular structure. tRNAs have two regions of fundamental functional importance: the anti-codon, which is responsible for specific mRNA codon recognition, and the 3' end, to which the tRNAs corresponding amino acid is attached (by aminoacyl-tRNA synthetases). tRNAs cope with the degeneracy of the genetic code in two manners: having more than one tRNA (with a specific anti-codon) for a particular amino acid; and 'wobble' base-pairing, i.e. permitting non-standard base-pairing at the 3rd anti-codon position. The record is from RNAcentral. Lineage: Bacteria; Pseudomonadati; Verrucomicrobiota; Verrucomicrobiia; Verrucomicrobiales; Akkermansiaceae.